UACAGAGGUCUCAAGCGUUGUUCGGAUUCAUUGGGCGUAAAGGGCGCGUAGGCGGCCGAUCAAGUCAGGCGUGAAAGCCCCGGACUCAACCUGGGAAUGGCGCUUGGGACUGGUUGGCUUGAGUUCGGGAGAGGAGAGUGGAAUUCCCAGUGUAGAGGUGAAAUUCGUAGAUAUUGGGAAGAACACCGGUGGCGAAGGCGGCUCUCUGGACCGAGACUGACGCUGAGGCGCGAAAGCGUGGGGAGCAAACAGG
Molecule: ribosomal RNA, 253 nt
Filed under: uncultured bacterium
Lineage: Bacteria
Description: partial 16S ribosomal RNA
Rfam family: Bacterial small subunit ribosomal RNA
Source: RNAcentral